UACGAAGGGGGCUAGCGUUGCUCGGAUUGACUGGGCGUAAAGGGCGCGUAGGCGGUUUGCACAGUCAGACGUGAAAUUCCUGGGCUCAACCUGGGGGCUGCGUUUGAUACGUGCAGGCUUGAGUUCGGAAGAGGGUCGUGGAAUUCCCAGUGUAGAGGUGAAAUUCGUAGAUAUUGGGAAGAACACCGGUGGCGAAGGCGGCGACCUGGUCCGAUACUGACGCUGAGGCGCGAAAGCGUGGGGAGCAAACAGG
This 253-nucleotide ribosomal RNA is filed under the name uncultured bacterium. RNAcentral's name for it is "partial 16S ribosomal RNA". It matches the Rfam family "Bacterial small subunit ribosomal RNA", at positions 524 to 776 of the family's 1533-position model. The record is from RNAcentral.